This 85-nucleotide transfer RNA is filed under the name Micromonospora fulviviridis. Its description in RNAcentral is "tRNA-Val". RNAcentral also lists the same sequence under 1 other name. Lineage: Bacteria; Bacillati; Actinomycetota; Actinomycetes; Micromonosporales; Micromonosporaceae. The record is from RNAcentral.
CGCGGCCCUCGCGGCGGUGGCCGACCGGCCGGUCACGGUGGCCUACACCCACCGGCCGCGCCCGUUCGACACGGCCGGGCUGCGG